Molecule: ribosomal RNA, 463 nt
Filed under: uncultured bacterium
Lineage: Bacteria
Description: bacterial SSU rRNA
Rfam family: Bacterial small subunit ribosomal RNA
Source: RNAcentral
CCAGACUCCUACGGGAGGCAGCAGUGAGGAAUAUUGGUCAAUGGUCGGGAGACUGAACCAGCCAAGCCGCGUGAGGGAUGAAGGUACAGAGUAUCGUAAACCUCUUUUGUCAGGGAACAAAGGCGGGGACGUGUCCCCGGAUGAGUGUACCUGAAGAAAAAGCAUCGGCUAACUCCGUGCCAGCAGCCGCGGUAAUACGGAGGAUGCGAGCGUUAUCCGGAUUUAUUGGGUUUAAAGGGUGCGUAGGCGGGAUGCCAAGUCAGCGGUAAAAAUGCGGUGCUCAACGCCGUCGAGCCGUUGAAACUGGCGUUCUUGAGUGGGCGAGAAGUAUGCGGAAUGCGUGGUGUAGCGGUGAAAUGCAUAGAUAUCACGCAGAACUCCGAUCGCGAAGGCAAGUGUCCGGGGUGCAACUGACGCUGAGGCUCGAAAGUGCGGGUAUCAAACAGGAUUAGAUACCCGCGUA